This 1344-nucleotide ribosomal RNA is filed under the name Escherichia coli. Its description in RNAcentral is "partial 23S ribosomal RNA". It matches the Rfam family "Bacterial large subunit ribosomal RNA", at positions 1355 to 2682 of the family's 2925-position model. The record is from RNAcentral. Lineage: Bacteria; Pseudomonadati; Pseudomonadota; Gammaproteobacteria; Enterobacterales; Enterobacteriaceae.
CUGUCCAACGUUAAUCGGGGCAGGGUGAGUCGACCCCUAAGGCGAGGCCGAAAGGCGUAGUCGAUGGGAAACAGGUUAAUAUUCCUGUACUUGGUGUUACUGCGAAGGGGGGACGGAGAAGGCUAUGUUGGCCGGGCGACGGUUGUCCCGGUUUAAGCGUGUAGGCUGGUUUUCCAGGCAAAUCCGGAAAACCAAGGCUGAGGCGUGAUGACGAGGCACUACGGUGCUGAAGUGACAAAUGCCCUGCUUCCAGGAAAAGCCUCUAAGCAUCAGGUAACAUCAAAUCGUACCCCAAACCGACACAGGUGGUCAGGUAGAGAAUACCAAGGCGCUUGAGAGAACUCGGGUGAAGGAACUAGGCAAAAUGGUGCCGUAACUUCGGGAGAAGGCACGCUGAUAUGUAGGUGAAGCGACUUGCUCGUGGAGCUGAAAUCAGUCGAAGAUACCAGCUGGCUGCAACUGUUUAUUAAAAACACAGCACUGUGCAAACACGAAAGUGGACGUAUACGGUGUGACGCCUGCCCGGUGCCGGAAGGUUAAUUGAUGGGGUUAGCGGUAACGCGAAGCUCUUGAUCGAAGCCCCGGUAAACGGCGGCCGUAACUAUAACGGUCCUAAGGUAGCGAAAUUCCUUGUCGGGUAAGUUCCGACCUGCACGAAUGGCGUAAUGAUGGCCAGGCUGUCUCCACCCGAGACUCAGUGAAAUUGAACUCGCUGUGAAGAUGCAGUGUACCCGCGGCAAGACGGAAAGACCCCGUGAACCUUUACUAUAGCUUGACACUGAACAUUGAGCCUUGAUGUGUAGGAUAGGUGGGAGGCUUUGAAGUGUGGACGCCAGUCUGCAUGGAGCCGACCUUGAAAUACCACCCUUUAAUGUUUGAUGUUCUAACGUUGGCCCCUAAUCGGGGUUGCGGACAGUGUCUGGUGGGUAGUUUGACUGGGGCGGUCUCCUCCUAAAGAGUAACGGAGGAGCACGAAGGUUGGCUAAUCCUGGUCGGACAUCAGGAGGUUAGUGCAAUGGCAUAAGCCAGCUUGACUGCGAGCGUGACGGCGCGAGCAGGUGCGAAAGCAGGUCAUAGUGAUCCGGUGGUUCUGAAUGGAAGGGCCAUCGCUCAACGGAUAAAAGGUACUCCGGGGAUAACAGGCUGAUACCGCCCAAGAGUUCAUAUCGACGGCGGUGUUUGGCACCUCGAUGUCGGCUCAUCACAUCCUGGGGCUGAAGUAGGUCCCAAGGGUAUGGCUGUUCGCCAUUUAAAGUGGUACGCGAGCUGGGUUUAGAACGUCGUGAGACAGUUCGGUCCCUAUCUGCCGUGGGCGCUGGAGAACUGAGGGGGGCUGCUCCUAGU